This 72-nucleotide transfer RNA is filed under the name Camelus bactrianus (Bactrian camel). It matches the Rfam family "tRNA". Rfam says of the family: Transfer RNA (tRNA) molecules are approximately 80 nucleotides in length. Their secondary structure includes four short double-helical elements and three loops (D, anti-codon, and T loops). Further hydrogen bonds mediate the characteristic L-shaped molecular structure. tRNAs have two regions of fundamental functional importance: the anti-codon, which is responsible for specific mRNA codon recognition, and the 3' end, to which the tRNAs corresponding amino acid is attached (by aminoacyl-tRNA synthetases). tRNAs cope with the degeneracy of the genetic code in two manners: having more than one tRNA (with a specific anti-codon) for a particular amino acid; and 'wobble' base-pairing, i.e. permitting non-standard base-pairing at the 3rd anti-codon position. The record is from Rfam by way of RNAcentral. Lineage: Eukaryota; Metazoa; Chordata; Mammalia; Artiodactyla; Camelidae. RNAcentral also lists the same sequence under 2 other names.
AUGGGUGUAGCUCAGUGGCAGAGCUCAUGCUUAGUGUGCAUGAGGACCCAGGUUCAAUCUCUAGUACCUUUA